UGGCGGACGGGUGAGUAAUGUCUGGGAAACUGCCUGAUGGAGGGGGAUAACUACUGGAAACGGUAGCUAAUACCGCAUAACGUCGCAAGACCAAAGAGGGGGACCUUCGGGCCCCUUGCCAUCGGAUGUGCCCAGAUGGGAUUAGCUAGUAGGUGGGGUAACGGCUCACCUAGGCGACGAUCCCUAGCUGGUCUGAGAGGAUGACCAGCCACACUGGAACUGAGACACGGCCCAG
This 235-nucleotide ribosomal RNA is filed under the name uncultured bacterium. RNAcentral's name for it is "partial 16S ribosomal RNA". It matches the Rfam family "Bacterial small subunit ribosomal RNA", at positions 96 to 334 of the family's 1533-position model. The record is from RNAcentral.